Molecule: transfer RNA, 73 nt
Filed under: Angiostrongylus costaricensis
Lineage: Eukaryota; Metazoa; Nematoda; Chromadorea; Rhabditida; Metastrongylidae
Rfam family: tRNA
About the family: Transfer RNA (tRNA) molecules are approximately 80 nucleotides in length. Their secondary structure includes four short double-helical elements and three loops (D, anti-codon, and T loops). Further hydrogen bonds mediate the characteristic L-shaped molecular structure. tRNAs have two regions of fundamental functional importance: the anti-codon, which is responsible for specific mRNA codon recognition, and the 3' end, to which the tRNAs corresponding amino acid is attached (by aminoacyl-tRNA synthetases). tRNAs cope with the degeneracy of the genetic code in two manners: having more than one tRNA (with a specific anti-codon) for a particular amino acid; and 'wobble' base-pairing, i.e. permitting non-standard base-pairing at the 3rd anti-codon position.
Source: Rfam by way of RNAcentral
GCCUCGUUAGCUCAGUUGGUAGAGCGUUAGACUUUUAAUCUAACGGUCAGGUGUUCGAGUCCCCUACGAGGCU